GGCAUCUGGUGGAUGCCUUGGCACUGAGAGGCGAUGAAGGACGUGGCACACUGCGAAAAGCCAUGGGGAGUCGUGAGCAGACGUUGAUCCGUGGAUAUCCGAAUGGGGAAACCCGGCCCAAUGGGUCGUCCCUUGUUGAAUACAUAGGCAAGGGAAGCAAACCCGGCGAACUGAAACAUCUAAGUAGCCGGAGGAAAAGAAAUCAACCGAGAUUUCCCAAGUAGCGGCGAGCGAACGGGAAACAGCCUGCAAGUGAUAUUUAAUGUUCUAGUGGAAUGUUCUGGAAAGGACAGCGAUAGAGGGUGAUAGCCCCGUACACGAAAGAGCGUUAUUGGUACUAAGCUUGCGACAAGUAGGGCGGGGCACGAGAAACCUUGUCUGAACAUGGGGGGACCAUCCUCCAAGGCUAAAUACUCCUUAUCGACCGAUAGUGAACCAGUACCGUGAGGGAAAGGCGAAAAGAACCCCGUUAAGGGGAGUGAAAUAGAACCUGAAACCGUGUGCGUACAAGCAGUAGGAGCAGACUUGUUCUGUGACUGCGUACCUUUUGUAUAAUGGGUCAGCGACUUAAUUUAUGUAGCGAGCUUAACCGAAUAGGGGAGGCGAAGGGAAACCGAGUCUUAAUAGGGCGAUUAGUUG
This 639-nucleotide ribosomal RNA is filed under the name Lotharella globosa. RNAcentral describes it as "partial Bacterial large subunit ribosomal RNA". It matches the Rfam family "Bacterial large subunit ribosomal RNA", at positions 16 to 702 of the family's 2925-position model. Lineage: Eukaryota; Cercozoa; Chlorarachniophyceae. The record is from RNAcentral.